AAGUCAUAACAAGGUUUCCGUAGGUGAACCUGCGGAAGGAUCAUUAAUAAUGCCCUCUGGCUUCGGUCAGCUGGGUUCAAUGUGUGUCAACUCUUCGGAGUUGGCCAUCCACACACACCGUGAACUGUGGCUUCGGCCAUCACAAACUAUUAGUAAUGAAUGUAAAAUCAUAACAAAAUAAAACUUUUAACAACGGAUCUCUUGGCUCUC
This 210-nucleotide unclassified non-coding RNA is filed under the name Vishniacozyma tephrensis. RNAcentral describes it as "partial internal transcribed spacer region". The stretch from base 1 to 46 matches the Rfam family "Eukaryotic small subunit ribosomal RNA", at positions 1786 to 1831 of the family's 1831-position model. RNAcentral also lists the same sequence under 2 other names. Lineage: Eukaryota; Fungi; Basidiomycota; Tremellomycetes; Tremellales; Bulleribasidiaceae. The record is from RNAcentral.